Molecule: ribosomal RNA, 253 nt
Filed under: uncultured bacterium
Lineage: Bacteria
Description: partial 16S ribosomal RNA
Rfam family: Bacterial small subunit ribosomal RNA
Source: RNAcentral
GACAGAGGGGGCAAGCGUUGCUCGGAAUUACUGGGCGUAAAGGGCGCGUAGGCGGGAUGGCAAGUCGGUCGUGAAAUCCCUCGGCUCAACUGAGGAUCGUCGAUCGAUACUGCCGUUCUUGAGGAUUGCAGAGGAGACUGGAAUUCCCGGUGUAGCGGUGAAAUGUGUAGAGAUCAGGAGGAACACCAAUGGCGAAGGCAGCUCGCUGGAACGGUACUGACGCUGAGGCGCGAAAGCGUGGGGAGCGAACAGG